This 1040-nucleotide long non-coding RNA is filed under the name Monodelphis domestica (gray short-tailed opossum). RNAcentral describes it as "lncRNA (ENSMODG00000030229.2)". The record is from RNAcentral. Lineage: Eukaryota; Metazoa; Chordata; Mammalia; Didelphimorphia; Didelphidae.
UUUAAAAAAAACCCUUACCUGCCAUCUUAGAAUCAGUAUUGUGUAUUGGCUCCAAGGCAGAAGCAUGGUAAGGGUUAGGCAAUGGGGGUCAAGUGACUUGCCCAGGGUCACACAGCUGGGAAGUGUCUGAGGUCAAAUUUGAACCCAGGACCUCCCAUUCUCUUGGCUUGGCUCUCAAUCCACUGAGCCACCCAGCUGCCCCCUCAAAGGAAGUUUUUGACUUGAAGGAAACUUAAGAUGGAUUUCAUUAUCAAAUUCCAGGUAGCAAUCAUAAUAAUCAUUAACAAGUAGAGAGUUCUUACUUUGUUCUAGUUAUCAUGCUAAAAGCUUUUCCAAUAUUGCCUCAUUUAAUCCUCACAAGCACCCUGGGAGAUGGGCGCCAUUGUUGUCUCCUGGUUACAGUUGAGGAAACUAAGACAAAUAGAGGUGAAGUUCACUGAGGUAAAGCCCUGGAUCACACGGUGAGUGCCUGAGGCUGGAGUGGAAAUAACACCUUCCGGACUGCAGGCCCAGCACUCUAUCCAGUGCAUCACUUCGUCGCCCACAGAGUUAGCUUUUGGUCUCCAUUGGUCUCGAAGCGAGCUAGUGCAGCAGUCUCUGGAAAAAGUCUGUAUUCGCUGCCCAGGGACCCGGUCUCUGUACGCUCAGCUCAGCCCAGCCCUGAGCCAGCUUGUGGUGCCAGAGCCCAUCACACUCAGCCAAAUGAGCCUGUUUCCAUCGCCGCGGCCCUUCUGGCUGCCAAAACGAAUGGAGGAACGGGAGGCGCCAGGAAUGAUUCUAGAGAUCAUCUUUCAAGGUGAGACGACAGGCAAGUAUGUAUCCUAUAAAGAAGAAGGUACCCCGGACCUGUGACAAACUUCAAACAAUACCAAAGGAUGGAAGAUAUAUGGACAACUGGAAAGAACUUUGAAUCAAAGACAUUAUGGAAAAUGAACUUCAGGAAAAUGGGUCACAUAAGAUUAAUUGCCAAUCACAUUAACUUCACAUAUAGGGAAGUACAUUCAUAUACACAUUGGAAUAAAUAUGCAUCCACCAUGACA